RNAcentral lists this ribosomal RNA (629 nucleotides) under uncultured bacterium. Its description in RNAcentral is "bacterial SSU rRNA". It matches the Rfam family "Bacterial small subunit ribosomal RNA", at positions 202 to 828 of the family's 1533-position model. The record is from RNAcentral.
UAAAGGAAGCGAUUCCGGCUACGGAUGGUCAUGCGUCGCAUUAGCUAGUUGGCGGGGUAACGGCCCACCAAGGCGACGAUGCGUAGGGGUUCUGAGAGGAAGGUCCCCCACACUGGUACUGAGACACGGACCAGACUCCUACGGGAGGCAGCAGUGAGGAAUAUUGGUCAAUGGCCGCAGGGCUGAACCAGCCAAGUCGCGUGAGGGAUGACGGUCCUAUGGAUUGUAAACCUCUUUUGUCAGGGAGCAAAGGACGCCACGUGUGGCGUUUUGCGAGUACCUGAAGAAAAAGCAUCGGCUAACUCCGUGCCAGCAGCCGCGGUAAUACGGAGGAUGCGAGCGUUAUCCGGAUUUAUUGGGUUUAAAGGGUGCGCAGGCGGAAUGUCAAGUCAGCGGUAAAAUUUCGGGGCUCAACCCCGUCGUGCCGUUGAAACUGGCGUUCUUGAGUGAGCGAGAAGUAUGCGGAAUGCGUGGUGUAGCGGUGAAAUGCAUAGAUAUCACGCAGAACUCCGAUUGCGAAGGCAGCAUACCGGCGCUCAACUGACGCUCAUGCACGAAAGCGUGGGUAUCGAACAGGAUUAGAUACCCUGGUAGUCCACGCAGUAAACGAUGAAUACUAACUGUCCGGG